RNAcentral lists this ribosomal RNA (460 nucleotides) under Streptococcus mitis. Its description in RNAcentral is "bacterial SSU rRNA". It matches the Rfam family "Bacterial small subunit ribosomal RNA", at positions 28 to 468 of the family's 1533-position model. The record is from RNAcentral. Lineage: Bacteria; Bacillati; Bacillota; Bacilli; Lactobacillales; Streptococcaceae.
GACGAACGCUGGCGGCGUGCCUAAUACAUGCAAGUAGAACGCUGAAGGAGGAGCUUGCUUCUCUGGAUGAGUUGCGAACGGGUGAGUAACGCGUAGGUAACCUGCCUGGUAGCGGGGGAUAACUAUUGGAAACGAUAGCUAAUACCGCAUAAGAGUAGAUGUUGCAUGACAUUUGCUUAAAAGGUGCAAUUGCAUCACUACCAGAUGGACCUGCGUUGUAUUAGCUAGUUGGUGAGGUAACGGCUCACCAAGGCAACGAUACAUAGCCGACCUGAGAGGGUGAUCGGCCACACUGGGACUGAGACACGGCCCAGACUCCUACGGGAGGCAGCAGUAGGGAAUCUUCGGCAAUGGACGGAAGUCUGACCGAGCAACGCCGCGUGAGUGAAGAAAGGUUUUCGGAUCGUAAAGCUCUGUGUAAAGAGAAAGAAACGAGUGUGAGAAGAGGAAAAGUUCCACC